This 491-nucleotide ribosomal RNA is filed under the name uncultured bacterium. Its description in RNAcentral is "partial 16S ribosomal RNA". It matches the Rfam family "Bacterial small subunit ribosomal RNA", at positions 29 to 507 of the family's 1533-position model. The record is from RNAcentral.
GUGCACGCUGGCGGUAGGCCUAACACAUGCAAGUCGCACGGCAGCACAGUAAGAGCUUGCUCUUACGGGUGGCGAGUGGCGGACGGGUGAGGAAUACAUCGGAAUCUACUUUUUCGUGGGGGAUAACGUAGGGAAACUUACGCUAAUACCGCAUACGACCUACGGGUGAAAGCAGGGGAUCUUCGGACCUUUCGCGAUUGAAUGAGCCGAUGUCGGAUUAGCUAGUUGGCGGGGUAAAGGCCCACCAAGGCGACGAUCCGUAGCUGGUCUGAGAGGAUGAUCAGCCACACUGGAACUGAGACACGGUCCAGACUCCUACGGGAGGCAGCAGUGGGGAAUAUUGGACAAUGGGCGCAAGCCUGAUCCAGCCAUACCGCGUGGGUGAAGAAGGCCUUCGGGCUGUAAAGCCCUUUUGUUGGGAAAGAAAAGCAGCAGGUUAAUACCCCGCUGUUCUGACGGUACCCAAAGAAUAAGCACCGGCUAACUUCGUG